RNAcentral lists this ribosomal RNA (443 nucleotides) under uncultured bacterium. RNAcentral describes it as "partial 16S ribosomal RNA". It matches the Rfam family "Bacterial small subunit ribosomal RNA", at positions 338 to 795 of the family's 1533-position model. The record is from RNAcentral.
CCUACGGGGGGCAGCCGUGGGGAAUAUUGGGCAAUGGGCGCAAGCCUGACCCAGCAACGCCGCGUGAAGGAAGAAGGCUUUCGGGUUGUAAACUUCUUUUCUCAGGGACGAAGAAAGUGACGGUACCUGAGGAAUAAGCCACGGCUAACUACGUGCCAGCAGCCGCGGUAAUACGUAGGUGGCAAGCGUUAUCCGGCGUUACUGGGUGUAAAGGGCGUGUAGGCGGGACUGCAAGUCAGAUGUGAAAACCACGGGCUCAAACUGUGGCCUGCAUUUGAAACUGUAGUUCUUGAGUACUGGAGAGGCAGACGGAAUGCCUAGUGUAGCGGUGAAAUGCGUAGAUAUUAGGAGGAACACCAGUGGCGAAGGCGGUCUGCUGGACAGCAACUGACGCUGAGGCGCGAAAGCGUGGGGAGCAAACAGGAUUAGAUACCCGGGUAGUC